GACGAACGCUGGCGGCGUGCUUAACACAUGCAAGUCGAACGGUAAGGCCCUUCGGGGUACACGAGUGGCGAACGGGUGAGUAACACGUGGGUGAUCUGCCCUGCACUUCGGGAUAACUCCGGGGAACCGGGGCUAAUACCGGAUAUGACCUCCUUGGGCAUCCUUGGAGGUGGAAAGUUUUUCGGUGAGGGAUGGGCCCGCGGCCUAUCAGCUUGUUGGUGAGGUAGUGGCUCACCAAGGCGACGACGGGUAGCCGGCCUGAGAGGGCGACCGGCCACACGGGGACUGAGACACGGCCCAGACUCCUACGGGAGGCAGCAGUGGGGAAUAUUGCACAAUGGGCGCAAGCCUGAUGCAGCGACGCCGCGUGAGGGAUGACGGCCUUCGGGUUGUAAACCUCUUUCAGCACCGACGAAGCGCAAGUGACGGUAGGUGCAGAAGAAGGACCGGCCAACUACGUGCCAGCCGCCGCGGUAA
RNAcentral lists this ribosomal RNA (477 nucleotides) under uncultured bacterium. RNAcentral's name for it is "partial 16S ribosomal RNA". It matches the Rfam family "Bacterial small subunit ribosomal RNA", at positions 28 to 523 of the family's 1533-position model. The record is from RNAcentral.